UACAGAGGGUGCAAGCGUUGUUCGGAAUUAUUGGGCGUAAAGGGCGCGUAGGCGGUGCCACAAGUCACCUGUGAAAUCUCCGGGCUUAACUCGGAGCCUGCAGGCGAAACUGUGGUGCUGGAGUGUGGGAGAGGUGCGUGGAAUUCCCGGUGUAGCGGUGAAAUGCGUAGAUAUCUGGAGGAAUACCGGCGGCGAAGGCGGCAUCCUGGACCGACAUUGACGCUGAGGAGCGAAAGCUAGGGGAGCAAACGGG
This 253-nucleotide ribosomal RNA is filed under the name uncultured bacterium. RNAcentral's name for it is "partial 16S ribosomal RNA". It matches the Rfam family "Bacterial small subunit ribosomal RNA", at positions 524 to 776 of the family's 1533-position model. The record is from RNAcentral.